Molecule: long non-coding RNA, 2482 nt
Organism: Mangifera indica (mango)
Lineage: Eukaryota; Viridiplantae; Streptophyta; Magnoliopsida; Sapindales; Anacardiaceae
Exons: 5
Source: RefSeq, a predicted model, not a curated record
CGAAAUCAAGUCUUAAUAACCAACUUUCUCUACAUCUUACAUUGCCACUAGACCUCCAAAAGGGAAGCAAACUUUCCACAAUUCCGUUCUUUCUCUCUUUGCCCAAUUGGUUAUGAGGUGUUUCUUCAUUUUCAAACUUGGCAACACCAAAAUCAGUUCCUAAAACACCUUCUUGGCUGCAAACGCAGGCAAUUGUUUGAGAAAAUGCCUUUGUGGGUGCGUGCUCACUUCCCCUUCUGUUAGCUCAAAACUCUUCACGUCUCUCUCGUCUUUACAACUGAGACUACAGAAACUUUUUCUUCCGCUUAUAUGUCUUCACGUCCACUUUUCUCUCUCUAUAUGUAUCUAUAGAACUCUUGACUUAUCUCAAUGUUGAGUGUUAAAAAUGAGAACAAAAUGAAAAAGGAAAAGAAGUGAGACAUUGAGGGUUGAGCUCUUCAUCAUGAAAAGAGAAGUUAAAAUUGACUUAUGUUCUUUGUAUUGUUUGGAUUUCUUAUAUUAUAAUAAUAAGAAUAGCAAGUGAUGGAGCUUGAAAUUGGGCAGCGUGACUUUUCAUGGUCCUCUAUCUGUCUUUGAAGAGGGCGAACUACUUGAAGGUAUGCUUGCUUCGCUACCUUAUGUUUUUGCUUCUUCUUUGUGAUCUGGAUUUGGUUGACAUGAAAACUUUUGUAACUUCGACUCGAUAAUUACUUCCCUAAAGUGAGAAACAUGGUUUGUUUUCACUUCUGGGAAAAUAUGCCAGACUUUGUAGCCAUGAAUGAAGUUUCCCAAGAAGGCAAUCUUCUUGUGCAGCACCAUUUGUUGUUGGGUUUUUUGGGGGCAACAGCAAACAACUUCCAUUUCCUGUAGCUUAAUCACUCAGGUCGACUCAUACUAGUGAUCUUCCUAAACGAAAUUUUGAGCUCCACAAGUUUUAAUUUAAAUGAAUUCACUGAACAAGUUAGCGUUGCUUGACAGGAUUGAAGGAAAAUCAUUUUCAUGUUAUGUGAAUCUAGUCUGAAGCUUGAUAGGUUUCAUGAGACAUUUAGUAGGGGUAUGUAUUCACUUUCACAAACAUACAUAAGGAAUUGUAUUUUCACAUUGAAGGUAAAGAUUUAAAUAUUAAUGUUAAGACUCUACCAAAGCUUUUUAGAGUUGAUAUGAGCCUAAUUAAAGGAAUUAUGCAAGAUUGUAAAUCCUUGGAGGCUUAUCUUUUAAGCUUAUGUUAGGUCAAGUAUUAACUUAACAGAGACAAUCCUACAACAUUGUAAACCUAAGAGACUAAUUUUUUUUAUCUAUCUACUAGUUUAAGCUUUUAGAUUAGGUGGUAACUUAUCGUCGUAUUGUUAGAAAUCUGAGACCUUAAACACCUGAAUCACAAUACUCUAGCAAAAUAACACAGAGUCUUUUUUCAGGAUAUUAGAGUAGACCAAUAUACUAGAAAUUGAAUAAAAGAACCUUUACUAUUGUUUUAUAUUUGAACAAGGAGAACAACAACACAUUUACAUGGCUGGUCCCUAGGUUAAAAAUUAAAAAAUGAAAAUAAAUAGAACCCAAAAUGAUAACCAACAAUUCAGGGAGCUGAGACCUCCCAAAUCAGCCAAGGGUUACCUAAACAAAACCUAAACUCUUUUCAUGCUUUUUCAUUGUUACAACAGACUAAUCAAUAUUCUAAUAGUCUUCUGAUUUUAUGUGAUUUAUUUGGUGGAUUUGUUCUAAAUUUAGAUGCAAUUAAUCUGUUUCCACUUGAUGGGGUAGUUUCAAUAUAAAUAUUUUAGGUUCUUUGAAUAUGAGUAAGUUGUUAUUAUGGAAGAUUAGCCAUUAAAGAAGCAUUUAAGAAACUUGUUGAGCAUAAGAUUUAAUGGGCUCAUGUGGGGGGACUUGUUAAUCAAUUUGCAACUGAAUUGUGUAUGUUCAGCCUAGAUUUUAGACUUUUGCUUCUGGUUUUGGGUUGUCUUCCCUCUUCAAUAAAGUGCUUUUUUAACUUGCAUCUUCAGUGUUGAUAAAUUUCAUGGGAUUAAUUUACAUAUUUUCCUUUUGAAGAUGUGAUCUUAUGCAAUUUCCAUGUGUUGGCUCACGUAGAAACUGACUUUCUUAUUAUUAGUUUGUUUUAGCUCAAAUGAAUUCACCGAGCAAGUUUGAGUUGGCUGGCAGGUUGGUGUCAAUUUUUUCAAGUCUGAUGCCAUUACUAGUUUAUUUAAUAAUGUUAGGAAUUCCAGAUGACAUAUUGAUUCAUAUCACAGGUCUCAUAAUAUAAAAAAUUCAGCUAAGAAGGUUGAGUUUUUUGGUAGGUGGGUUGGGAUUUUUCAUGCAUACUUGUUAGUAAAAAAGUCUAGAUGAAGUUCUAUAGUGUUCUUGUGGCUUAUUGUCUUCGGAACCUUCUCUUUUUUCUAUGAUUAUUGUCCUCGGAACAUAUUUCAUUGUCAUCUCAAGUGGAUGACAGUGGAACUUUAUUUUCUUUGUGAUUACAAUAUAUAGAAUCCUGAAUUUAUACAUUCUCCAA